Molecule: ribosomal RNA, 459 nt
Filed under: uncultured bacterium
Lineage: Bacteria
Description: partial 16S ribosomal RNA
Rfam family: Bacterial small subunit ribosomal RNA
Source: RNAcentral
CCUACGGGUGGCAGCAGUGAGGAAUAUUGGUCAAUGGGCGCGAGCCUGAACCAGCCAAGUCGCGUGAAGGAUGACUGCUCUCCGGGUUGUAACCUUCUUUUAUAAAGGAAUAAAGUGCGGUACGUGUGCCUUUUUGUAUGUCCAUUAUGAAUACGGAUCGGCUAACUCCGUGCAAGCGGCAGCGGUAAUACGGAGGAUGCGAGCGUUAUCCGGAUUUAUUGGGUUAAAAGGGUGCGUAGGCGGGAGGUUAAGUCCGCGGUCAAAUGUCGGUGCUCAACACCGGCCUGCCGUUGAAACUGGGCUGCUUGAGUGAGCGAGAGGUAGGCGGAAUGCGUGGUGUAGCGGUGAAAUGCAUAGAUAUCACGCAGAACUCCGAUUGCGAAGGCAGCAUACCGGCGGUUAACUGACGCUGAGGCACGAAAGCGUGGGGAUCGAACAGGAUUAGAUACCCUUGUAGUC